UUUGGUGUGAAACCAAAAGGUUGCUGUGAAGUUCUGAUGUUUUAGGCUUAGAGUUGGCUUUUUACUGAAAUUUAUUUGAGAACCAGCUUCUGAAUUGCUUGGAAAAGCAAAAACACGUAGAAAUCAAAUCACAAUUUAAAUAUUCCCGCAAAGCGAGGAAUUUUGAGAGUAACUUCUGCGUGCAACAUGCGAAAAGUGAGCGGCAGUGCUCUUCAACGUGGGCACGAAAUAAGCCACAUUCUGGUCCCCUUGCGGCGAUGUAAAUGGGGGAACAUCGAACAAAUUAUUCUUUCAGUUCUGAAAGUCUAAACUAAAUGGUAAUAUUAAUCAGAACAUCAAAAUUGAGCCCUGGUCACGCUGCGUGCGACGCCAAAAACCGCGUUUUUGUUUUUAUUGAAGAAAUUGCCUAAGAAACUUCCAAGAAUUGCACUGAUGUGGAGGGCGGAGGCGCAAUU
This is a long non-coding RNA of Drosophila guanche, 455 nucleotides long. RefSeq lists it as uncharacterized. The transcript is spliced from 2 exons. The record is from RefSeq and is a predicted model, not a curated record. NCBI's taxonomy places the organism in Eukaryota, Metazoa, Arthropoda, Insecta, Diptera, Drosophilidae.